GGUUUGGGGUGGUUUUGGUCGAUUUUGGGCUGUUUUCGGGGCGUUUCGAGGUGUUUUUGUCUGUUUUUAGGGUGUUUUUAGGGUGUUUUUGGGUUGUUCUUGGCCGAUUUCAGGCUGGUUUUGGGGUGGUUUUGGCUGGUUUUGGGGUGUUUCUGGCUCUUUGGGGUGUUUUUGGCUGAUUUUGGGGUGUUUUUGGCUGGUUUUUGGCUGUUUUUGGGGUGGUUUUGGUUGUUUUUAGGGUGUUUUUGGGCUGUUUUUGGGGUGUUCUUGGGCGAUUUCAGACUGGUUUUGGGGUGGUUUUGGCUGUUUUUGGGGUGUUUCUGGCUCUUUGAGGUGUUUUUGGCCGAUUUUGGGGUGGUUUUGGCUGUUUUUGGGGUGUUUCUGGCUGUUUUUGGGGUGGUUUUGGCUGUUUUUAGGGUGUUUUUGGCCGAUUCCGGGGUGUUUUGGGCUGUUUUCAGGGUGUUUUUGGCUGUUUUGGGGUGGUUUUGGCCGAUUUCGGGGUGUUUCUGGCUGGUUUUGGGGUUUUUUUAGCCGAUUUUGGGGUGUUUCUGGCUGUUUUGGGGUGUUUUUGGCCGAUUUUUGGGUGUUUCUGGCUGUUUUGGGGUGUUUUUGGCCGAUUUUGGGGUGUUUCUGGCAGGGGACAGACGCUGGGCCGCCGCUGUUUCGAGGUUCGUGUCUGCGCCUGCCCCGGCCGCGAUCGGCGCCUGGAGGAGGAGAACCAGCGCAAAAGGGGCGGGGCCAAGCGAGGUGAGGGCGGGGCCUGAGCCUGAGUGGGCGGGGCCUGGGCUUGGGCUUAUCCAAUGGGAAUGAGG
Molecule: long non-coding RNA, 812 nt
Filed under: Cyanistes caeruleus (blue tit)
Lineage: Eukaryota; Metazoa; Chordata; Aves; Passeriformes; Paridae
Description: lncRNA (ENSCCEG00000003594.1)
Source: RNAcentral